Long non-coding RNA from Oreochromis aureus, 200 nucleotides. RefSeq lists it as uncharacterized. The record is from RefSeq and is a predicted model, not a curated record. Lineage: Eukaryota; Metazoa; Chordata; Actinopteri; Cichliformes; Cichlidae. The transcript has 3 exons.
UAAGCUUCAAGCUGCUGACGAACUCCGUCAAGACAUGCAGAUCAGCAUCAAUGUCCACGUGAAGAACCUAGUUAUGCUGCCAGUGUCAACCCAACAAAAGGCACUUUCACAAUAUAUAAAAGAAGUGUAUGGAACUGAGGUGCUUCCUCAGGUUGUUGGAGGAUGGAGAAGAGGACGCAGCCGUGACUUGUGAGAUGGCG